This 253-nucleotide ribosomal RNA is filed under the name uncultured bacterium. RNAcentral describes it as "partial 16S ribosomal RNA". It matches the Rfam family "Bacterial small subunit ribosomal RNA", at positions 524 to 776 of the family's 1533-position model. The record is from RNAcentral.
GACAGAGGGUGCAAACGUUGUUCGGAAUUACUGGGCGUAAAGCGCGUGUAGGCUGCUCGGAAAGUCGGAUGUGAAAGCCCUGGGCUCAACCUAGGAAGUGCAUUCGAAACUUCUGAGCUGGAGUGCUGGAGAGGAAGGCGGAAUUCUCGGUGUAGAGGUGAAAUUCGUAGAUAUCGAGAGGAACACCGGUGGCGAAGGCGGCCUUCUGGACAGUAACUGACGCUGAGGCGCGACAGCGUGGGGAGCAAACAGG